GAGGCGUUAGUUAAACAAUAACCCAACCUUGUCAAGGUAAAAUUGUGGGUUAGACCCCCACACUCCUCU
RNAcentral lists this transfer RNA (69 nucleotides) under Cardioglossa leucomystax (silver long-fingered frog). RNAcentral's name for it is "tRNA-Asp". It matches the Rfam family "tRNA". Rfam says of the family: Transfer RNA (tRNA) molecules are approximately 80 nucleotides in length. Their secondary structure includes four short double-helical elements and three loops (D, anti-codon, and T loops). Further hydrogen bonds mediate the characteristic L-shaped molecular structure. tRNAs have two regions of fundamental functional importance: the anti-codon, which is responsible for specific mRNA codon recognition, and the 3' end, to which the tRNAs corresponding amino acid is attached (by aminoacyl-tRNA synthetases). tRNAs cope with the degeneracy of the genetic code in two manners: having more than one tRNA (with a specific anti-codon) for a particular amino acid; and 'wobble' base-pairing, i.e. permitting non-standard base-pairing at the 3rd anti-codon position. Lineage: Eukaryota; Metazoa; Chordata; Amphibia; Anura; Arthroleptidae. The record is from RNAcentral.